This is a small nucleolar RNA of Elgaria multicarinata webbii, 215 nucleotides long. RefSeq annotates it as small nucleolar RNA U3. NCBI's taxonomy places the organism in Eukaryota, Metazoa, Chordata, Lepidosauria, Squamata, Anguidae. The transcript has a single exon. The record is from RefSeq and is a predicted model, not a curated record.
AAGUCUAUACUUUGAGGGUUCAUUUCUAUACUGUCAAACUAGAGAGGUGCAAUCAAAAGUGAUUGGAUGAGCAAACCAUAAGGAGUCAAAUUGUUCUCUUCUGAGCAGGAAGUGAGUGAGAAAUGCUACAUUUAAGCAGCUGCUGUUUACUGUGGAUGACCUUUCUGCUUUCCUUUUUUAAGGCAGUUGGAGAGGGAGAACACAGACUGAGUAGG